Molecule: ribosomal RNA, 425 nt
Filed under: uncultured bacterium
Lineage: Bacteria
Description: partial 16S ribosomal RNA
Rfam family: Bacterial small subunit ribosomal RNA
Source: RNAcentral
GUGGGGAAUCUUAGACAAUGGGCGCAAGCCUGAUCUAGCCAUGCCGCGUGAGCGAUGAAGGCCUUAGGGUUGUAAAGCUCUUUCAGGGGGGAAGAUAAUGACGGUACCCCCAGAAGAAGCCCCGGCUAACUCCGUGCCAGCAGCCGCGGUAAUACGGAGGGGGCUAGCGUUGUUCGGAAUUACUGGGCGUAAAGCGCACGUAGGCGGACCAGAAAGUCAGGGGUGAAAUCCCGGGGCUCAACCCCGGAACUGCCUUUGGAACUCCUGGUCUUGAGGUCGAGAGAGGUGAGUGGAAUUCCGAGUGUAGAGGUGAAAUUCGUAGAUAUUCGGAGGAACACCAGUGGCGAAGGCGGCUCACUGGCUCGAUACUGACGCUGAGGUGCGAAAGCGUGGGGAGCAAACAGGAUUAGAAACCCCGGUAGUCC